Molecule: ribosomal RNA, 627 nt
Filed under: Planococcus sp. MOLA 1413
Lineage: Bacteria; Bacillati; Bacillota; Bacilli; Caryophanales; Caryophanaceae
Description: bacterial SSU rRNA
Rfam family: Bacterial small subunit ribosomal RNA
Source: RNAcentral
UGGCGGCGUGCCUAAUACAUGCGAGUCGAGCGGGAACCAUUGGAGCUUGCUCCUUUGGUUUAGCGGCGGACGGGUGAGUAACACGUGGGCAAACCUGCCCUGCAGAUCGGGAUAACUCCGGGAAAACCGGUGCUAAUACCGAAUAGUUUGCGGCCUCUCAUGAGGCUGCACGGAAAAGACGGUUUCGGCUGUCACUGCAGGAUGGGCCCGCGGCGCAUUAGCUAGUUGGUGGGGUAACGGCCUACCAAAGGCGACGAUGCGUAGCCGACCUGAGAGGGUGAUCGGCCACACUGGGACUGAGACACGGCCCAGACUCCUACGGGAGGCAGCAGUAGGGAUCUUCCGCGAUGGACGAAAGUCUGACGGAGGACGCCGCGUGAGUGAAGAGGUUUUCGGAUCGUAAAACUCUGUUGUGAGGGAAGACGAGUAUCGACUAACUAUUGGUACCUUGACGGUACCUCACCAGAGGGCCACGGCUAACUACGUGCCAGCAGCCGCGGUGGUACGUAGGUGGCGGGCGUUGUCCGGGAUUAUUGGGCGGGGGCGCGCGCAGGCGGUCCUUUAAGUCUGAUGUGGGGGCCCAUGCUCAACCGUGGAGGGUCAUUGGGGACUGGGGGACUUGAGUGC